CCUACGGGAGGCAGCAGUGGGGAAUAUUGCACAAUGGGGGAAACCCUGAUGCAGCGACGCCGCGUGAGUGAAGAAGUAAUUCGUUACGGAAAGCUCCAUCAGCAGGGAAGAAAAUGACGGUACCUGAGGAAGUAGCCCCGGCUAACUACGUGACAGCAGCCGCGGUAAUACGUAGGGGGCAAGCGUUAUCCGGAUUUACUGGGGGUAAAGGGAGCGUAGACGGCAAUGCAAGAUCGGGGUGAAAGCCCGGGGCCCAACCCCGGGACUGCCGUUGGAACUGGGGUGCUAGAGUGCGGGAGAGGCAGGCGGAAUUCGUGGUGUAGCGGUGAAAUGCAUAGAUAUCAGGAGGAACUCCGACGGCGAAGGCGGCAUGCUGGACCGCGACUGACGUUGAGGCUCGAAAGCGUGGGGAGCGAACAGGAUUAGAUACCCGGGUAGUC
This 440-nucleotide ribosomal RNA is filed under the name uncultured bacterium. Its description in RNAcentral is "partial 16S ribosomal RNA". It matches the Rfam family "Bacterial small subunit ribosomal RNA", at positions 338 to 795 of the family's 1533-position model. The record is from RNAcentral.